RNAcentral lists this ribosomal RNA (1273 nucleotides) under Fuscheria nodosa. RNAcentral describes it as "eukaryotic LSU rRNA". The stretch from base 373 to 1273 matches the Rfam family "Eukaryotic large subunit ribosomal RNA", at positions 1 to 982 of the family's 3401-position model. Lineage: Eukaryota; Ciliophora; Litostomatea; Haptorida; Acropisthiidae. The record is from RNAcentral.
GUAGGUGAACCUGCGGAAGGAUCAUUAACAAAAAAUGAACUUAUAACUAACUGACUGGUGCUUACGCACUAUGAACUUAUAAAUAUAAACCAUAAAACUCUAAUGGUUGAUAAAAAACUAAAUUUUCAACGAUGGAUGUCUUGGCUCCCAUAACGAUGAAGAACGCAGCGAAAAUGCGAUAUGCAAUGUGAAUUGCAGAACCACGAAUCAUCAGAUCUUUGAACGCAUCUGGCGCCGAUACACUCGGCAUACUUGUUUCAGUGUGCUUAAACAACUAAAACCUAAAUGUAGGAGAAGUUCUCCUAUUAAAUAAAUGCUCCUUGCAGCAGUCACAUUUAUAUGUGAGCUACUAUGGAGAAUAAAGACUUAAUGUCACCUGAAAUCAAGUAAGAUGACCCGCUGGACUUAAGCAUAUUAAUAAGCGGAGGAAAAGAAAUUAACUAAGAUUGCCUUAGUAAGGGCGACUGAACCGGCAAUAGCUCGAAAUUGAAAUCGUUGGUUCAAUGAACCUUCGAAUUGUAAUCAGGACUGCCUAAAUACGAGAGGAUGCUCAAGCACAUCGAAUGGUGCGCCAUAGAGGGUGAGAGCCCCGUGAAGUGUUUUCUCGAGUAAGGUAGUUUCUACAAGAGUCGGGUUGCUUGGAACUGCAGCCCUAAGUGGGAGAUAUGAUUCUUCCAAAGCUAAAUAUGGAUGGGAGACCGAUAGCGAACAAGUACUGUGAAGGAAAGAUGAAAAGGACUUUGAAAAGAGAGUGAAAAGAUCUGAAAUCGUUGAGAAGGAAGCGGUAGGAACUGAUGAUCGUACUGAUGAUGCAACAGGACGACCUCCUGGAGUAUCAACCAGAGCGAUGGGCAAAAUCAAGUCGACUUCUCCAAAAAAGGCUUUAGCCGAUUAAGGGAGAAUCCGGCUUGAGGGACUACGGUGAUUUUGCCAAAAUGGUUCCUACCGUCCCGUCUUGAAACACGGACCAAGGAGUCUAGCCUAUAUGCGAGUGUGCGAGUGGAAAAACUCAUACGCGGAAUGAAAGUAAAAGGUGCGCAGUGUAAAAACAGCAGCAUCGGCCGACCUAGGAAGAAAGGUUUGAGUAAGAGCAUAUACGUUAGGACCCGAAAGAUGGUGAACUAUGCCUGAGUAGGGUGAAGUCAGGGGAAACCCUGAUGGAGGCUCGUAGCGAUACUGACGUGCAAAUCGUUCGUCAAACUUGGGUAUAGGGGCGAAAGACUAAUCGAACCAUCUAGUAGCUGGUUCCCUCCGAAGUUUCCCUCAGGAUAGC